GCCUGGGUGGCUCAGUCGGUUGAGCGUCUGACUUCGGCUCAGAUCAUGAUCUGGCGGUCCGUGAGUUCGAGCCCCGCGUCGGGCU
Felis catus (domestic cat) is the source of this 85-nucleotide transfer RNA. It matches the Rfam family "tRNA". From Rfam's summary of the family: Transfer RNA (tRNA) molecules are approximately 80 nucleotides in length. Their secondary structure includes four short double-helical elements and three loops (D, anti-codon, and T loops). Further hydrogen bonds mediate the characteristic L-shaped molecular structure. tRNAs have two regions of fundamental functional importance: the anti-codon, which is responsible for specific mRNA codon recognition, and the 3' end, to which the tRNAs corresponding amino acid is attached (by aminoacyl-tRNA synthetases). tRNAs cope with the degeneracy of the genetic code in two manners: having more than one tRNA (with a specific anti-codon) for a particular amino acid; and 'wobble' base-pairing, i.e. permitting non-standard base-pairing at the 3rd anti-codon position. The record is from Rfam. Lineage: Eukaryota; Metazoa; Chordata; Mammalia; Carnivora; Felidae.